RNAcentral lists this ribosomal RNA (818 nucleotides) under uncultured crenarchaeote. RNAcentral describes it as "bacterial SSU rRNA". It matches the Rfam family "Archaeal small subunit ribosomal RNA", at positions 54 to 859 of the family's 1478-position model. Lineage: Archaea; Thermoproteati; Thermoproteota. The record is from RNAcentral.
CUCGCCAGCUAAAGGUGAGUGCGGCGCACAGCUCAGUAACACGUGGCUAACCUGCCCUUGGGACGAGGACAACCCCGGGAAACUGGGGCUAAUCCUUGAUAGGUGAAGAACUCUGGAAUGAGUCUCCGCCCAAAAGUCGCUUAUGCUAUGCUCGUAGGUGUCGCCCAAGGAUGGGGCCGCGACCGAUCAGGUUGUUGGUGAGGUAACGGCUCACCAAGCCUUUUACCGGUGCGGGCCGUGGGAGCGGGAGCCCGGAGAUGGGCACUGAGACAAGGGCCCAGGCCCUACGGGGCGCAGCAGUCGCGAAAACUUUGCAAUACACGAAAGUGUGACAGGGCUAUCCCGAGUGCCAUCCGCUGAGGAAGGCUUUUACCCAGUCUAGAAAGCUGGGGGAAUAAGGAGAGGGCAAGUCUGGUGUCAGCCGCCGCGGUAAUACCAGCUCUCCGAGUGGUGUGGAUGUUUAUUGGGCCUAAAGCAUCCGUAGCUGGCCAAGUUAGUCCCCUGUUAAAUCCACCGAAUUAAUCGUUGGUGUGCGGGGGAUACUGCUUGGCUAGGGGACGAGAGAGGCAGACGGUAUUUUCGGGGUAGGGGUGAAAUCCUUUAAUCCCGGGAAGACCACCAGUGGCGAAGGCUGUCUGCUAGAACGCGCCCGACGGUGAGGGAUGAAAGCUGGGGGAGCGAACCGGAUUAGAUACCCGGGUAGUCCCAGCCGUAAACGAUGCAGGCUAGGUGUUUGGACGGCCACGCGCCGUUCUAGUGCCGCAAGGAAGCUGUUAAGCCUGCCGCCUGGGGAGUACGAUCGCAAGAUUGAAACUUAA